This 329-nucleotide ribosomal RNA is filed under the name uncultured bacterium. RNAcentral's name for it is "bacterial SSU rRNA". It matches the Rfam family "Bacterial small subunit ribosomal RNA", at positions 464 to 793 of the family's 1533-position model. The record is from RNAcentral.
CUCAUUUGACGUUAGCUGCAGAAGAAGCACCGGCUAACUCCGUGCCAGCAGCCGCGGUAAUACGGAGGGUGCGAGCGUUAAUCGGAAUUACUGGGCGUAAAGCGCAUGCAGGUGGUUUGUUAAGUCAGAUGUGAAAGCCCGGGGCUCAACCUCGGAAUUGCAUUUGAAACUGGCAAACUAGAGUACUGUAGAGGGGGUAGAAUUUCAGGUGUAGCGGUGAAAUGCGUAGAGAUCUGAAGGAAUACCGGUGGCGAAGGCGGCCCCCUGGACAGAUACUGACACUCAGAUGCGAAAGCGUGGGGAGCAAACAGGAUUAGAUACCCUGGUAG